RNAcentral lists this long non-coding RNA (468 nucleotides) under Zea mays. RNAcentral's name for it is "long non-coding RNA (ZMAY_LNC004161)". Lineage: Eukaryota; Viridiplantae; Streptophyta; Magnoliopsida; Poales; Poaceae. The record is from RNAcentral.
ACUCCGCUCUGUGGCGAGCAGCCCCUGCACCAUCCAUGCUCGUCGUGUGUUCGAGAGUUCACGCGCAAGUCUCUGCGUGGUGGCCGUGUCGCUGCAAGCUUGUGCCACGCACCCGGGCAUCGUGUCGCACCAAAUAGCAGCAGCAACACACCCUCAAGCCUCGCAUUGAACCUGCUCGACGAAAAGCGCAGCAAGCUGCGUGUCGUUCGUCCCUGCAUCGCAUAGCCUUCAUCGCUGCGCAUUGUCCGCAUCGGCGCAGCAGCCCUCUCGUUCAUUCUCCACUCCCCUCGUCGCGUGUCAUCAAUCUCGUGCUUGCUGCGCAGCCCAUCCUCGUCGUCGUCGAAACCCUUGGUGAGCCCCUUGCUAGUACCCCCACUGUUUUUUGAUCUCGGGUGCUUGAUAAAAUGUUUGAACCACUGGGCGUUUUUAAUUGCAGCUAGAUGUUGCCACUGCACCUCGCGCGACGCA